CGAGUCCGAGGAGCUAAGGCUCCAAAGUGAUGCGAGUCAGACUUCCCAGAAAAGCCCGAACCACGUUAAUUUCUAAUUACCUGUACCCGAAACCGACACAGGUGGGUAGGUAGAGUAUACUAAGGGGCGCGAGAUAACUCUCUCUAAGGAACUCGGCAAAAUGACUCCGUAACUUCGGGAGAAGGAGUGCCUUAUUUAUAAGGUUGCAAUAACAAGAUCCAAGCAACUGUUUAUCAAAAACACAGGUCUCCGCUAAGUCGUAAGACGAUGUAUGGGGGCUGACGCCUGCCCAGUGCCAGAAGGUUAAAGAAGUUGGUUAGUGUAUGCGAAGCUGAUGACUGAAGCCCUGGUGAACGGCGGCCGUAACGAUAACGGUCCUAAGGUAGCGAAAUUCCUUGUCGGGUAAGUUCCGACCCGCACGAAAGGCGUAAUGAUUUGGAUACUGUCUCGGAGAGAGGCUCGGUGAAAUAGACUUGUCUGUGAAGAUGCGGACUACCUGCACCAGGACAGAAAGACCCUAUGAAGCUUUACUGUAACUUGAAAUUGGAAUUGGACUUUGCUUGCGCAGUAUAGGUGGGAAGCGUUGAAAAUAUUCUUGCGGGAGUAUUGGAGCUAUCAGUGAGAUACCACUCUUGUAAUGUUAGAUUUCUAACUUUGAACCAUAAUCUGGUCAAAGAACAGUUUCAGGUGGGCAGUUUGACUGGGGCGGUCGCCUCCCAAAUGGUAACGGAGGCGUACAAAGGUUUCCUCUGAACGGAUAGAAAUCGUAUCUAGAGUGUAAAGGCAUAAGGAAGCUUGACUGUGAGACCUACAAGUCGAGCAGGGACGAAAGUCGGUCUUAGUGAUCUGACGGUACUGAGUGGAAAGGCCGUCACUCAACGGAUAAAAGUUACUCUAAGGAUAACAGGCUGAUCUCCCCCAAGAGUUCACAUCGACGGGGAGGUUUGGCACCUCGAUGUCGGCUCAUCGCAUCCUGGGGCGGUAGUACGUCCCAAGGGUUGGGCUGUUCGCCCAUGAAAGCGGUACGCGAGCUGGGUUCAGAACGUCGUGAGACAGUUCGGUCCAUAUCCGGUGUAGGCGCUAGAAUAUUGAGAGGAGCCUUCUUUAGUACGAGAGGACCGAGAAGGACACACCGCUGGUGUACCAGUUAUCGUGCCAACGGUAAACGCUGGGUAGCUAUGUGUGGAGUGGAUAACCGCUGAAAGCAUCUAAGUGGGAAGCCCACCUCGAGAUGAGUAUUC
This 1241-nucleotide ribosomal RNA is filed under the name metagenome. Its description in RNAcentral is "bacterial LSU rRNA". It matches the Rfam family "Bacterial large subunit ribosomal RNA", at positions 1564 to 2813 of the family's 2925-position model. The record is from RNAcentral.